AAAUGAAUUGACGGGGGCCCGCACAAGCGGAGGAACAUGUGGUUUAAUUCGAUGAUACGCGAGGAACCUUACCCGGGCUUGAAAUGUACUCGACGAAUGGGGAAACUCAUUUUCCAGCAAUGGCGAGUAUGUAGGUGCUGCAUGGUUGUCGUCAGCUCGUGCCGUGAGGUGUCGGCUUAAGUGCCAUAACGAGCGCAACCCCUGCCGUUAGUUACUAUCGGGUAAAGCCGAGGACUCUAGCGGGACUGCCACCGUAAGGUGUGAGGAGGGUGGGGAUGACGUCAAAUCAGCACGGCCCUUACGUCCGGGGCGACACACGUGUUACAAUGGGCGGUACAGAGGGCGGCUACCCGGUGACGGGAUGCCAAUCUUAAAAACCGUUCUCAGUUCGGAUCGGAGUCUGCAACUCGACUCCGUGAAGCUGGAUUCGCUAGUAAUCGCGCAUCAGCCAUGGCGCGGUGAAUACGUUCCCGGGCCUUGUACACACCGCCCGU
This 494-nucleotide ribosomal RNA is filed under the name uncultured bacterium. RNAcentral's name for it is "bacterial SSU rRNA". It matches the Rfam family "Bacterial small subunit ribosomal RNA", at positions 903 to 1397 of the family's 1533-position model. The record is from RNAcentral.